AGAGUUUGAUCAUGGCUCAGGACGAACGCUGGCGGCGUGCCUAACACAUGCAAGUCGAACGCCCUCGACCUUCGGGUCACAUGAGGGAGUGGCGAACGGGUGAGUAACACGUGAGAAACCUACCCCGAAGACCGGGAUAACCAAGGGAAACUCUGGCUAAUACCGGAUACCCUCAUCACACCGCAUGGUGAGAUGAGGAAAUGUCUUUUCGCUUCGGGAGGGUCUCGCGACCUAUCAGUUAGUUGGUGAGGUAACGGCUCACCAAGACAUCGACGGGUAGCUGGUCUGAGAGGACGAUCAGCCACACUGGGACUGAGACACGGCCCAGACUCCUACGGGAGGCAGCAGUGGGGAAUAUUGCGCAAUGGGCGAAAGCCUGACGCAGCAACGCCGCGUGCGGGAUGACGGCCUUCGGGUUGUAAACCGCUUUCAGCAGGGACGAAAAUGACGGUACCUGCAGAAGAAGCUCCGGCUAACUACGUGCCAGCAGCCGCGGUAAUACGUAGGGAGCAAGCGUUGUCCGGAUUUAUUGGGCGUAAAGGGCUCGUAGGCGGUUCAGUAAGUCGGAUGUGAAAAAUCUGGGCUCAACCCAGUCAAGCAUCCGAUACUGCUGUGACUAGAGUUCGGUAGAGGAGUGUGGAAUUCCUGGUGUAGCGGUGGAAUGCGCAGAUAUCAGGAGGAACACCAACAGCGAAGGC
RNAcentral lists this ribosomal RNA (698 nucleotides) under uncultured bacterium. Its description in RNAcentral is "bacterial SSU rRNA". It matches the Rfam family "Bacterial small subunit ribosomal RNA", at positions 8 to 722 of the family's 1533-position model. The record is from RNAcentral.